This 253-nucleotide ribosomal RNA is filed under the name uncultured bacterium. Its description in RNAcentral is "partial 16S ribosomal RNA". It matches the Rfam family "Bacterial small subunit ribosomal RNA", at positions 524 to 776 of the family's 1533-position model. The record is from RNAcentral.
UACGGAGGGUGCAAGCGUUAUUCGGAAUUACUGGGCGUAAAGCGCACGCAGGUGGCUGAGUCAGUCGAUUGUGAAAGCCCUGGGCUUAACCUGGGAAUUGCAGUCGAUACUACUCAGCUAGAGUAUGGGAGAGGGUAGUGGAAUUCCCGGUGUAGCGGUGAAAUGCGUAGAUAUCGGGAGGAACAUCAGUGGCGAAGGCGGCUACCUGGCCCAAUACUGACACUCAGGUGCGACAGCGUGGGGAGCAAAAGGG